Molecule: long non-coding RNA, 2372 nt
Organism: Rosa rugosa (rugosa rose)
Lineage: Eukaryota; Viridiplantae; Streptophyta; Magnoliopsida; Rosales; Rosaceae
Exons: 2
Source: RefSeq, a predicted model, not a curated record
AUCAUUACUACAUCAAAAUUUCAGAAUGAGUUUCUUCAUCUAGGCGAUCAAACAAAGCCUUCUUCCAGAAUCAUCACCCUCUGGAUUUGUUUCUCGUAAGGGAUGAUUUCUUCCAUACAGAAGAAACCUUACCUUUUUCUCAAAAAAAAAAAAAAAAAAAAAAAAAAACUUACCCUUCAUCUUGAGCAUACAUUUCGGGGAAAAUCCCUUGACAUCAUAUUUCAUUCAACAAUGCAUUUCUAAUUUUCUAUGAGUUUUUUUUUUUUUUUCAUCUUUUUGAAAUUUAGGAGGUGUAUAAAAUAUAAAUUUUUAACAAUUUAUUUCCUAUUAAAAAAAAACAAUUUUUUAAUUUUUAAAAAGACAAAAAUACAAACACUUUAAAUAACUUUUUACGGUUCCGUCAAUAUCAUUUUUCUAAAAGAAGUUAUGGCCGAUUUAGUACAGAAAUGUCAUGUUGCACGUGAAUCUGACUUUUAACCGGAAUUUAUGUUUUGAGGCCCAAAUCACAUCGGAAAGCCCAUGAACGCGUUUGUGCUUCAUAUUUCAAAUAAUAUUGCACAUGGACAAGUUUGCGCUUCACAUUUCAUUCCUAAUUCUGCCCCUGCCUCCAAAGAAAGUUAAGCAUCUUCCCUGAUCUUUCUCUAUUCUAGGGAGAGAGACAAUGGGUUGAGCCCGAUUGCUUAACUGAUGCCGGUGUAGCAACAGAAGGAUGGGUAGGAGCACGAUUUGAUUCUACAUAAUUACCGCCAAAUCCGUCAACUCAAGGCACACCACGAGGAAGACAAAAAGACUUUCUGGGACAUCAUCCUCCACCGAAGCUGCCGACUCAAUCACCUUAGAGCGCAAGCAAGCCGCCACUAGUUGAGAUGUGAACUCUUCCACCGCAACCAUGGUGAAAGAGACAGACGGGGUUAUGCAAAUAUAAGGGGAGGAGGGGAAGAGGAAGGAGGCAGAGAUGACCAGAUGGGUAAAAAACAGGUGGUACCCUUGUCAGCUAAGGGUCGAGACCAUUAACAAAGAUGAAAAUUCCAAUCGUAUUUGACUUACAGGCAUAAUCAGCAUUUUUCAUGGCAUAAUCAGCAUCUCAGUUUUGAUUCACAUUCACGACUCAUGCUGGUGACAUGACUACCAUUAACAAAGAUGAAAAUUCCAAUAGUAUUUGACUAACAGGCAUAAUCAGCAUUCUUCAUGGUAUAGAUGGAAAUUAAAUUAAGCUAAUGCAAUUUCAUCGUACAAAAGACUUUGCAGAGUAAAUCGGCAACUAGAAACGAGGAAUGACUAUGGCUAUGUUUGGGGGGGGGGCUUUUUAGCUCCCCUGCUUAUAAGCAGAAGACCCAUAAGUGUUUGGUAAGCCAACUUCUCAUCAGCUUCCUCCAGAAGCUGCUGUGGCUUCUGCCCAAAAGCAGAAGCUGCCGAACCCCAGCUUUUAAAAGCCAGAAGCCCGAAAAUCUACUGUAGCGGUGUUACUGUAGAUUAAUGAAAAUUUCAAAAUACCGGUAGAUACCCUUCCAAGCUGAAACAAUUUCAGCUGAACCAUUAACCCUUCGCAUUUCCCAAAUUGGUAACUGUUCCCCAUCUCUCUCCCUCAUCACACCCGCGGAUCACAGCUCCCCCAGAUCUCUCCCUCAUCACACCCGCAGAUCACAUCCUCGCUGCUCCCUCACCGCCGCAUCCUCGAAGCUCCCCGUCACCUUCGCAUCGUCGCUGCUCCCCAUCGGUAACUGUUCCCCAUCUCUCUCCCUCAUCACACCCGCAGAUCACAGCUUCCCUGCUCCCCCAGAUCUCUCCCUCAUCACACCCGCACCGCCGCAUCCUCGCUGCUCCCUCACCGCCGCAUCCUCGAAGCUCCCCGUCACCUUCACAUCGUCGCUGCUCCCCAUCACAGACGUAUCUCUCUCCCUCACAUCGUCGCUGCUCCCCGUCACCGCUCUCCAUCUCCGUCCGUCAUCAUAGACCGCAGCCCCGACGUCGAUAUACCCAUCUCCACUCCUCCGACCUCAAAGUGUGUAUCGGACAUGGCGAAGGCUUCCAAGGGCAACCAUGAUGAGUUUGAAGACGAUGAUGAAGAAAAUCAAGCAGGUCUUUUUUUUUUUUUUUUUUGAGGUUUGAGGAAUUUUUAUGUAGAGAAGGAGGAGCAAGAUUAAUGAGAGGCAAGCUUAAGCUCAGUGAUUACUGUUUACAUUUUCUUUUUCAGUUCUGGUUUGUAUUUGAUUUUGGAUUUUGGAUUUAGAAUAUGUAGGUGAAGCAGAGUAUUGUGUUGGGUUUAAUAUCCAAGAUUGUAUAUGUGAAGGGUUUCUGUGUAGUCUCUGUCAUAUGUGUGUACUUUUUGUUUUUUGAAGAAAUGUCACCUUGCAAGCAUUUUCACAGUGUUA